GCCUCCUUAGCUCAGUGGUAGAGCGCUGGUCUCGUAAACCAGAGAUCGGGAGUUCAAUCCUCCCAGGAGGCA
This 72-nucleotide transfer RNA is filed under the name Daphnia pulicaria. RNAcentral's name for it is "tRNA-Thr". It matches the Rfam family "tRNA". Rfam says of the family: Transfer RNA (tRNA) molecules are approximately 80 nucleotides in length. Their secondary structure includes four short double-helical elements and three loops (D, anti-codon, and T loops). Further hydrogen bonds mediate the characteristic L-shaped molecular structure. tRNAs have two regions of fundamental functional importance: the anti-codon, which is responsible for specific mRNA codon recognition, and the 3' end, to which the tRNAs corresponding amino acid is attached (by aminoacyl-tRNA synthetases). tRNAs cope with the degeneracy of the genetic code in two manners: having more than one tRNA (with a specific anti-codon) for a particular amino acid; and 'wobble' base-pairing, i.e. permitting non-standard base-pairing at the 3rd anti-codon position. Lineage: Eukaryota; Metazoa; Arthropoda; Branchiopoda; Diplostraca; Daphniidae. The record is from RNAcentral.